This 301-nucleotide ribosomal RNA is filed under the name uncultured bacterium. RNAcentral describes it as "partial 16S ribosomal RNA". It matches the Rfam family "Bacterial small subunit ribosomal RNA", at positions 509 to 807 of the family's 1533-position model. The record is from RNAcentral.
CAGUCGCCACGGUAAUACGGAGGAUCCAAGCGUUAUCCGGAAUCAUUGGGUUUAAAGGGUCCGUAGGCGGUCUUGUAAGUCAGUGGUGAAAGCCCAUCGCUCAACGGUGGAACGGCCAUUGAUACUGCAGGACUUGAAUUAUUGGGAAGUAACUAGAAUAUGUAGUGUAGCGGUGAAAUGCUUAGAGAUUACAUGGAAUACCAAUUGCGAAGGCAGGUUACUACCAAUUGAUUGACGCUGAUGGACGAAAGCGUGGGGAGCGAACAGGAUUAGAUACCCCCGUAGUCCCUGUCUCUUAUAC